This 276-nucleotide unclassified non-coding RNA is filed under the name Hevea brasiliensis (rubber tree). The record is from RNAcentral. Lineage: Eukaryota; Viridiplantae; Streptophyta; Magnoliopsida; Malpighiales; Euphorbiaceae.
AGAACAUCUGCUAGAAAUUUCUGCAAUUCAAGAAAAUCUCAUUUGCAUGUGCUUUUCUGGCCAUGUUUCUAUCAUUGUCCUUGUGGACAUUGGGACAAGGGCAUCUCGACAUUAAAGACAAACCAAAAGCUGGAAGAAGGACGAGCUAAAGCACAAGCCUACAGGCUACAAGCCAUUCUUUAUCACCGAAGUUAUUACUCAUUUUGGGUUAUAAUUUAAAAAAGCUAAAAAGGAUCAUAGUGCAAACCUAUGGAAGAAAUCAAUGGCACUCCUCUU